RNAcentral lists this ribosomal RNA (351 nucleotides) under uncultured soil bacterium. RNAcentral's name for it is "bacterial SSU rRNA". It matches the Rfam family "Bacterial small subunit ribosomal RNA", at positions 26 to 398 of the family's 1533-position model. The record is from RNAcentral.
AGAACGAACGCUGGCGGCAGGCCUAACACAUGCAAGUCGAACGCUCGUAGCAAUACGGGAGUGGCGCACGGGUGAGUAACGCGUGGGCACCUGCCCGGUGGUUUGGGAUAACCGUGGGAAACUGCGGCUAAUACCGGAUACGCCCCUAGGGGGAAAGAUUUAUCGCCAUCGGAUGGGCCCGCGUAGGAUUAGCUAGUUGGUGAGGUAACGGCUCACCAGGCUACGAUCCUUAGCUGGUCUGAGAGGAUGAUCACGCCACACUGGACUGAGACGACGGCCCAGACUCCUACGGGAGCAGCGAGUGGGGAAUAGUUGGACAAGUGGGGGACCAACCCGUAGACGUACCGAGCC